GCGAGACUGGGCUCGCCAGGCGGAAGUGGUUGGAGACUGCGUGUUUUCCUAGAAAGUCCUCGACCUUCGUCGGGGAGAGGAGGGGAGUGAUAAAUUGGAAGGCGGACAAGCGACAAGUGCAGUACUGGAAAGACCCAAACAUACUUGGUUGUGACCUCAGGACUCAAUAAAAUAAACAGCUGGAAAUAAGCAGACUACUGUAAGAGUGAAUUGGAAAGAAAACCCAAGGUAAGUGAAAAGUUGGACGAUCCUCUAAUAAAGAUCAUUAGCAAAGUUUUAGUUCAAUACUAGUUUUAGGAUUCCCAUAAAUGGCUUGCAUUUUUAGUGUGGCAGAAAAGGAGUUUUUACAUACUGUACACAAAACAGACAGCAUAUAUUUAUAGGUACAGUAUUACUGUUUCCAAACUUGCAUGUAUAUUUACAGAAGGCUGAGUUUGUUUACUCAAACAGAGGUUUGUGAAAUUUGUGUGCUUAAUCCUCAAGACCUACACACAAUUAGAAUCAGCAUUUCAUGUGGUCUUUUUAAAUGUGGCUUUAAUACUUGGUUGUAGAGGAGAAUGUUAACCGUAAGGCUUGGCUUACUUUGUAAAUUUAACAAAACAACCCAGGAAAAACGUUUUAACUGGGGCACACUUGUUAUCAUUUAACAAUUGUCAAAUGCUGACAUGUGCUAGCCAUUGUGCAGACGCAAAAAGAUACAUACAAUCUCUACCCUCAGGAAGCUUAGGAUGCUAAAUGGUGCUUUAAAAAAAAGGUUUCAAUCUCUUUCCAAGAGAGGCAGUUAAGGAAUGAUGUGAUUUAUAUUAAAAGAGAUUUCUCCCUCAACUGUAGCCAAUCCACUUUAAAAGGUUAACUACUAGCAUUAGCUCUCAUUAACCACACAAUUGCAUUUAUAAUUAAGGUAACAGCAACUCUUCCACAAAAAUGGAAAAUGUCUAGAAUUGUGGGUAAAUAUUGCAGUGCAUGGAAGCCAAUAAUCAUGGCUUGAGAAUUUAUCACCUUCAAUUACAAAAAGUGCAGUAAACAGAAACAUUUGCUCUACAUUUAUAAAUUGCUCAAAAAUCUUUGCUAAAGAUCUUACAAAUUCAGUAAUAUUACAGAACAAUUCUAAUCAAUAUUUAAUAAGGUUAACUACAUCCUUAGUUAGAUAUUUGAUAAACUUUGCUUUUCAAUAAUGCCAAUAGAUCUUGGGAGAAUGGGUAGAAAGGCUUAAUUAAGCUACUUAUUAAAUAACUUUAAAAAUGAAGGUCCUUCACUCAGUUCAUGGAACUGGUUGAGGUCAUACUGAAACAGAACAUCCCGUGUCGAAUUUGCUUUAUGGCCCAUGUUAUGGCAGAGGACGUCUCCAUCCUUCUCAUGACUCAGGUAGGAGGGGAAAGGUUUAUUCUGCCAUCAAGCCAUCUAGGAUAUUUUAUGUAAAUGCCUAUUAUCUAUAAUAGGAGCUAAGAAUACAACUGUGUUAGGUGCCAAUAAGACAAUUCCUUAAUAAGAAAAAAAAGUAUGUUACUCCAUUAAACAAGUUUCUUUAGGAUCUUGAAGGCCUGGCAAAUUAUUUUUCAGCGUAGGAGAUAUGCUGUAAAGCCAAGUAGCAAACAUAAAGUAAAUGCUAAUAAGUUUCCAUAUAGCCAUAUUUAUAAACAAAUUCACCCUAUAGAUGUCAAAUAUCCAUACUAAGGAAGUAAUUUUAUCCUAAUUAAAUACACUCUAGAAUA
This 1712-nucleotide long non-coding RNA is filed under the name Pan troglodytes (chimpanzee). Its description in RNAcentral is "long non-coding RNA NONPTRT005378". The record is from RNAcentral. Lineage: Eukaryota; Metazoa; Chordata; Mammalia; Primates; Hominidae.